UACGGAGGAUCCGAGCGUUAUCCGGAUUUAUUGGGUUUAAAGGGUGCGCAGGCGGAAGUAUUAAGUCGGUGGUGAAAUUUUUGCAGCUCAACUGUAAAAGUGCCAUUGAUACGUGGUUUUCUUGAGUUGUGGAUGAAGUAGGCGGAAUUUGUGGUGUAGCGGUGAAAUGCAUAGAUAUCACGAGGAACUCCGAUUGCGCAGGCAGCUUACUAAACCAUAACUGACGCUCAGGCACGAAGGCGUGGGGAUCGAAACAGGAUUAGGAUA
RNAcentral lists this ribosomal RNA (267 nucleotides) under uncultured prokaryote. Its description in RNAcentral is "partial 16S ribosomal RNA". It matches the Rfam family "Bacterial small subunit ribosomal RNA", at positions 524 to 784 of the family's 1533-position model. The record is from RNAcentral.